Molecule: ribosomal RNA, 384 nt
Filed under: uncultured bacterium
Lineage: Bacteria
Description: bacterial SSU rRNA
Rfam family: Bacterial small subunit ribosomal RNA
Source: RNAcentral
AUUGAACGCUGGCGGCAUGCUUUACACAUGCAAGUCGAACGGCAGCGGGGGCUUCGGCCCGCCGGCGAGUGGCGAACGGGUGAGUAAUGCAUCGGAACGUGCCCAGUCGUGGGGGAUAACACAUCGAAAGAUGUGCUAAUACCGCAUACGUCCUGAGGGAGAAAGCGGGGGACCUUCGGGCCUCGCGCGAUUGGAGCGGCCGAUGUCAGAUUAGCUAGUAGGUGGGGUAAAGGCCCACCUAGGCGACGAUCUGUAGCGGGUCUGAGAGGAUGAUCCGCCACACUGGGACUGAGACACGGCCCAGACUCCUACGGGAGGCAGCAGUGGGGAAUUUUGGACAAUGGGGGCAACCUUGAUCCAGCCAUGCCGCGUGAGUGAAGAAGG